GGGAACGUACCCUUCGGUUCGGAAUAGCUCAGGGAAACUUGAGCUAAUACCGGAUACGCCCUUUUGGGGAAAGGUUUACUGCCGAAGGAUCGGCCCGCGUCUGAUUAGCUUGUUGGUGGGGUAACGGCCUACCAAGGCGACGAUCAGUAGCUGGUCUGAGAGGAUGAUCAGCCACACUGGGACUGAGACACGGCCCAGACUCCUACGGGAGGCAGCAGUGGGGAAUAUUGGACAAUGGGCGCAAGCCUGAUCCAGCCAUGCCGCGUGAGUGAUGAAGGCCUUAGGGUUGUAAAGCUCUUUUGUCCGGGACGAUAAUGACGGUACCGGAAGAAUAAGCCCCGGCUAACUUCGUGCCAGCAGCCGCGGUAAUACGAAGGGGGCUAGCGUUGCUCGGAAUCACUGGGCGUAAAGGGCGCGUAGGCGGCCGAUUAAGUCGGGGGUGAAAGCCUGUGGCUCAACCACAGAAUUGCCUUCGAUACUGGUUGGCUUGAGACCGGAAGAGGACAGCGGAACUGCGAGU
Molecule: ribosomal RNA, 520 nt
Filed under: uncultured bacterium
Lineage: Bacteria
Description: bacterial SSU rRNA
Rfam family: Bacterial small subunit ribosomal RNA
Source: RNAcentral